GCACCUGUGGUGAAACUGGCAGACACGUUGGAUUUAGGUUCCAAUGCCGCAAGGCGUGCAGGUUCAAGUCCUGUCAGGUGCA
RNAcentral lists this transfer RNA (82 nucleotides) under Ruminococcus sp. RNAcentral's name for it is "tRNA-Leu". It matches the Rfam family "tRNA". From Rfam's summary of the family: Transfer RNA (tRNA) molecules are approximately 80 nucleotides in length. Their secondary structure includes four short double-helical elements and three loops (D, anti-codon, and T loops). Further hydrogen bonds mediate the characteristic L-shaped molecular structure. tRNAs have two regions of fundamental functional importance: the anti-codon, which is responsible for specific mRNA codon recognition, and the 3' end, to which the tRNAs corresponding amino acid is attached (by aminoacyl-tRNA synthetases). tRNAs cope with the degeneracy of the genetic code in two manners: having more than one tRNA (with a specific anti-codon) for a particular amino acid; and 'wobble' base-pairing, i.e. permitting non-standard base-pairing at the 3rd anti-codon position. The record is from RNAcentral. RNAcentral also lists the same sequence under 2 other names. Lineage: Bacteria; Bacillati; Bacillota; Clostridia; Eubacteriales; Oscillospiraceae.